UGGGGAAUAUUGGACAAUGGGCGCAAGCCUGAUCCAGCAAUGCCGCGUGUGUGAAGAAGGCCUGCGGGUUGUAAAGCACUUUAAGCCGGAAAGAAGGGCAGGGUGAUAAUACCGCUCUGCAUUGACGUUACCGGCAGAAUAAGCACCGGCUAACUCCGUGCCAGCAGCCGCGGUAAUACGGAGGGUGCAAGCGUUAAUCGGAAUUACUGGGCGUAAAGCGCGCGUAGGCGGUUCACUCAGUCUGCUGUGAAAGCCCCGGGCUUAACCUGGGAACGGCAGUGGAUACUGGUGGGCUAGAGUAUGGUAGAGGGGAGUGGAAUUUCCGGUGUAGCAGUGAAAUGCGUAGAGAUCGGAAGGAACACCAGUGGCGAAGGCGGCUCUCUGGACCAAUACUGACGCUGAGGUGCGAAAGCGUGGGGAGCAAACA
RNAcentral lists this ribosomal RNA (427 nucleotides) under uncultured Methylococcaceae bacterium. Its description in RNAcentral is "partial 16S ribosomal RNA". It matches the Rfam family "Bacterial small subunit ribosomal RNA", at positions 355 to 774 of the family's 1533-position model. The record is from RNAcentral. Lineage: Bacteria; Pseudomonadati; Pseudomonadota; Gammaproteobacteria; Methylococcales; Methylococcaceae.